GACGAACGCUGGCGGCGUGCCUAACACAUGCAAGUCGAACGGAAAGGCCCUGCUUUUGUGGGGUGCUCGAGUGGCGAACGGGUGAGUAACACGUGAGUAACCUGCCCUUGACUUUGGGAUAACUUCAGGCAACUGGGGCUAAUACCGGAUAGGAGCUCCUGCUGCAUGGUGGGGGUUGGAAAGUUUCGGCGGUUGGGGGUGGACUCGCGGCUUAUCAGCUUGUUGGUGGGGUAGUGGCUCACCAAGGCUUUGACGGGUAGCCGGCCUGGGAGGGGGGACGGCGACAUUACGACUGGGGUACGGCCCAGACCCCAACGGUAGGCAACGGGGGAGAAUAUUGUACAGUGGGCGGGAGCCUGAUGCGACAACGCCGCGAGCGGGAAGACGGCCAUGGGGUUGGGAACCGCAGUCGCCUGUGACGAAGCGUGAGUGACGGUACCGGGAAAAUAAGCACCGGCUAACUACGUG
RNAcentral lists this ribosomal RNA (468 nucleotides) under uncultured bacterium. RNAcentral's name for it is "partial 16S ribosomal RNA". It matches the Rfam family "Bacterial small subunit ribosomal RNA", at positions 28 to 507 of the family's 1533-position model. The record is from RNAcentral.